GACGAACGCUGGCGGCGUGCUUAACACAUGCAGGUCGAACGGUAAGGCCCUUCGGGGUACACGAGUGGCGAACGGGUGAGUAACACGUGGGUGAACUGCCCUGCACUUCGGGAUAAGCCUGGGAAACUGGGUCUAAUACCGGAUAGGACCACUGCCUGCAUGGGUGGUGGUGGAAAGCUUUUGCGGUGUGGGAUGGGCCCGCGGCCUAUCAGCUUGUUGGUGGGGUGAUGGCCUACCAAGGCGACGACGGGUAGCCGGCCUGAGAGGGUGACCGGCCACACUGGGACUGAGGUACGGCCCAGACUCCUACGGGAGGCAGCAGUGGGGAAUAUUGCACAAUGGGCGCAAGCCUGAUGCAGCGACGCCGCGUGAGGGAUGACGGCCUUCGGGUUGUAAACCUCUUUCAGCAUCGACGAAGCGAAAGUGACGGUAGGUGCAGAAGAAGGACCGGCCAACUACGUGCCAGCAGCCGCAGUAA
RNAcentral lists this ribosomal RNA (478 nucleotides) under uncultured bacterium. RNAcentral's name for it is "partial 16S ribosomal RNA". It matches the Rfam family "Bacterial small subunit ribosomal RNA", at positions 28 to 523 of the family's 1533-position model. The record is from RNAcentral.